CCCUUAGAUGCUCUGGGCUGCACGCGCGCUACACUGAUGCAUCCAACAAGUUUUUUCCUUGUUCGAGAGGACUAGGUAAUCUUAUGAGAAUGCAUCGUGAUGGGGAUAGAUUAUUGCAAUUAUUAAUCUUCAACGAGGAAUUCCUAGUAAGCGCGAGUCAUCAGCUCGUGCUGAUUACGUCCCUGCCCUUUGUACACACCGCCCGUCGCUGCAACUGAUUGGGUGACCUGGUGAACAUCUUGGACCGGCCCACUCAAUUUCGAGAGGACUGGAAAAGGCCGUAAAUCAGGUACAUCUAGAAAUUGCAAAAGUCGUAACA
Molecule: ribosomal RNA, 319 nt
Filed under: uncultured eukaryote
Lineage: Eukaryota
Description: partial 18S ribosomal RNA
Rfam family: Eukaryotic small subunit ribosomal RNA
Source: RNAcentral